Molecule: ribosomal RNA, 1424 nt
Filed under: uncultured Acidithiobacillus sp.
Lineage: Bacteria; Pseudomonadati; Pseudomonadota; Acidithiobacillia; Acidithiobacillales; Acidithiobacillaceae
Description: partial 16S ribosomal RNA
Rfam family: Bacterial small subunit ribosomal RNA
Source: RNAcentral
UGNCUAAAACAUGCAAGUCGAACGGUAACAGGUCUUCGGAUGCUGACGAGUGGCGGACGGGUGAGUAAUGCGUAGGAAUCUGUCUUUGAGUGGGGGACAACCCAGGGAAACUUGGGCUAAUACCGCAUAAGCCCUGAGGGGGAAAGCGGGGGAUCUUCGGACCUCGCGCUGGAAGAGGAGCCUACGUCUGAUUAGCUAGUUGGUAGGGUAAAGGCCUACCAAGGCGACGAUCGGUAGCUGGUCUGAGAGGACGACCAGCCACACUGGGACUGAGACACGGCCCAGACUCCUACGGGAGGCAGCAGUGGGGAAUUUUUCGCAAUGGGGGCAACCCUGACGAAGCAAUGCCGCGUGAAUGAAGAAGGCCUUCGGGUUGUAAAGUUCUUUCGUGGAGGACGAAAAGGUGGGUGCUAAUAUCGCCUGCUGUUGACGUGAAUCCAAGAAGAAGCACCGGCUAACUCCGUGCCAGCAGCCGCGKUAWUACGGGGGGUGCAAGCGUUUAAUCGGRAUCWCUGGAGCGUAAAGGGUGCGUAGGCSGURCAUUAGGUCUGUCGUGAAAUCCCCSGRCUCAACCUGGGAAUGGCGKUGRAAACCGGUGUACUAGAGUAUGGGAGAGRGUGGWGGAAUUMCAGGUGUAKCGKUGAAAURCGUAGAGAUCUGGAKGAACAUCAGUGGCGAAGGCGGCCRCCUGGCCCAAUAMKGACGMUGAGGCAMGAAAGCGUGGGGAGCAAACAGGAUUAGAKWCCCUGGUAGUCCACGCCCURAACGAUGAAUACUAGAUGUUUGGUGCCAAGCRUACUGAGUGUCGUAGCUAACGCGAUAAGUAUUCCRCCUGGRAAGUACGGMCGCAAGGUUAAAMCUCAAAGGAAUUGACGGGGGSCCGCACAAGCGGUGGAGCAUGUGGUUUAAUUMGAUGCAACGCGRRGAACCUWASMUGGRCUUGACGGUCAAUUUCUAGCAGAGAUGCGGGAGUGCCCUUGAGUGAAUCAGAACCCGGGAGCUUCAUGUCUGUAGUCAGUUCUUAUCGAGAGAUGUUGAGUUAAGUCCCGCAACGAGCGCAACCCUUGUCAGAAAUUACCAGCGGUUCGACAGGACAAUAUAGCCACAAGACCAGUGACAAGCCGGAUGAACAAGGAAAUUCCGUCAAGUCCUCGGGCCAGAGGUCCAGGGACAGAGCGUGCUACAAAGGCGCGCACAGAGGGAUGCCAAGCCGCAAAAUGGAACAGACCCCCGAGAGCAGGUCGUAUUUCGGAGGUCAGUCGGAAAGUUGUAAUCAUGAAGUCGGCGUAAAUAAAGAUCGGAGAUCAACAUACAGAUGUUUACACAGGAUCAGACAAAGAAAACUGGAAAAGACCCACCAUAAUAGAGAACUUUCUUAUCCCCUGCUAUCCAACCGUCGGGAGGGGAAAAAACCCUCAAGGNNU